AGGGAAUAGAUACCCGGGUAGUCCACGCCGUAAACGAUGGAUGCUAGCUGUUAUCAGUAUCGACCCUGGUAGUAGCGAAAGCUAACGCGUUAAGCAUCCCGCCUGAGGAGUACGAGCGCAAGCUUAAAACUCAAAGGAAUUGACGGGGACCCGCACAAGCGGUGGAGCGUGUUGUUUAAUUCGAUGGUAAGCGAAGAACCUUACCAAGGUUUGACAUCCUGGGAAAGUUGGUGAAAGCCGACCGUGCCUUCGGGAACCCAGUGACAGGUGAUGCAUGGCCGUCGUCAGCUCGUGUCGUGAGAUGUUUGG
RNAcentral lists this ribosomal RNA (309 nucleotides) under uncultured bacterium. RNAcentral describes it as "bacterial SSU rRNA". It matches the Rfam family "Bacterial small subunit ribosomal RNA", at positions 773 to 1079 of the family's 1533-position model. The record is from RNAcentral.